GACGAACGCUGGCGGCGUGCUUAACACAUGCAAGUCGAACGGAAAGGCCCUGCUUUUGUGGGGUGCUCGAGUGGCGAACGGGUGAGUAACACGUGAGUAACCUGCCCUUGACUUUGGGAUAACUUCAGGAAACUGGGGCUAAUACCGGAUAGGAGCUCCUGCUGCAUGGUGGGGGUUGGAAAGUUUCGGCGGUUGGGGAUGGACUCGCGGCUUAUCAGCUUGUUGGUGGGGUAGUGGCUUACCAAGGCUUUGACGGGUAGCCGGCCUGAGAGGGUGACCGGCCACAUUGGGACUGAGAUACGGCCCAGACUCCUACGGGAGGCAGCAGUGGGGAAUAUUGCACAAUGGGCGGAAGCCUGAUGCAGCAACGCCGCGUGCGGGAUGACGGCCUUCGGGUUGUAAACCGCUUUCGCCUGUGACGAAGCGUGAGUGACGGUAAUGGGUAAAGAAGCACCGGCUAACUACGUGCCAGCAGCCGCGGUGAUACGUAGGGUGCGAGCGUUGUCCGGAUUUAUUGGGCGUAAAGGGCUCGUAGGUGGUUGAUCGCGUCGGAAGUGUAAUCUUGGGGCUUAACCCUGAGCGUGCUUUCGAUACGGGUUGACUUGAGGAAGGUAGGGGAGAAUGGAAUUCCUGGUGGAGCGGUGGAAUGCGCAGAUAUCAGGAGGAACACCAGUGGCGAAGGCGGUUCUCUGGGCCUUUCCUGACGCUGAGGAGCGAAAGCGUGGGGAGCGAACAGGCUUAGAUACCCCUGGUAGUCCACGCUGUAAACGGUGGGUACUAGGUGUGGGGUCCAUUCCACGGGUUCCGUGCCGUAGCUAACGCUUUAAGUACCCCGCCUGGGGAGUACGGCCGCAAGGCUAAAACUCAAAGGAAUUGACGGGGCCCCGCACAAGCGGCGGAGCAUGCGGAUUAAUUCGAUGCAACGCGUAGAACCUUACCUGGGUUUGACAUGGAUCGGGAGUGCUCAGAGAUGGGUGUGCCUCUUUUGGGGUCGGUUCACAGGUGGUGCAUGGCUGUCGUCAGCUCGUGUCGUGAGAUGUUGGGUUAAGUCCCGCAACGAGCGCAACCCUUGUUCACUGUUGCCAGCACGUUAUGGUGGGGACUCAGUGGAGACCGCCGGGGUCAACUCGGAGGAAGGUGGGGAUGACGUCAAGUCAUCAUGCCCCUUAUGUCCAGGGCUUCACGCAUGCUACAAUGGCUGGUACAGAGAGUGGCGAGCCUGUGAGGGUGAGCGAAUCUCGGAAAGCCGGUCUCAGUUCGGAUUGGGGUCUGCAACUCGACCUCAUGAAGUCGGAGUCGCUAGUAAUCGCAGAUCAGCAACGCCGCGGUGAAUACGUUCCCGGGGCUUGUACACACCGCCCGUCAAGUCAUGAAAGUUGGUAACACCCGAAGCCGGUGGCCUAACCGUUGUGGGGGAGCCGUCGAAGGU
Molecule: ribosomal RNA, 1429 nt
Filed under: uncultured organism
Description: 16S ribosomal RNA
Rfam family: Bacterial small subunit ribosomal RNA
Source: RNAcentral